Long non-coding RNA from Sycon ciliatum, 1048 nucleotides. RefSeq lists it as uncharacterized. Lineage: Eukaryota; Metazoa; Porifera; Calcarea; Leucosolenida; Sycettidae. The transcript has 3 exons. The record is from RefSeq and is a predicted model, not a curated record.
AACAUGGCUAGAUAGUAGACUAGUAUAAAGAUCUACUGGCUGGAGUCCAGCCCUUCGUCUGUUCUAGAUCAACUGGCUGUGUCAGUGAAAGAAAUUUCUUACACCGAAAAUUGUGUUAUCGACUGAGUUAUUCUUUGGCCUAGAGGUGGAAAGUCUUGCAGUUUGCUAAGUGGAGAUGGUAGCGGUGCUUGCUGAGUGAGAGUCCACGCUACGUAUGGUGCCAUUGGUGGUGUAACCAUGGCUACGGAGAGUCUCAGCAAGGAAGAGUACCUGCUCCGCCUUGUAAAGAGUAACAAUCAUGAAGAAUUGAGGAAGGAAAUCCUUCACGAGGACAUCACAUUGAAGGAGGCUAUAGCAAACUUGACAUACACCAACGAAGAGGGAGAGAAGGAACCAUUAGUGGGUCGGUUGCUAUUCAAUGCCUGCGAUGAUGGCCGGCUGGAGUGCGCCUACAUCCUUGCGGACUGUUGCGGAGAAACAGUGAUCAACCAGUUUUAUCGCUAUACGAAAGCAUAUGUAGGUGUAUGUGCAUGAGUGCUUGGAUAUGCAUUGCUGACACUGCCCCAGUUACCAAGCACACUGCUCUGUAAUAGGUGAUUCACACGACAGCCACACGUUUUACAGCGAGUGAUUCACGAGGAAAGUGACUGUGUGGAUUCACAUGGCUGCACUCAACGACAGGCACUCAACGAUAGUCACGUUUGCAUAUUUGAAUGAUUCAUCCACCAGCUGCCAUGACUAUUUCAAAUUUUCAAAACAUACGUACAAUAAUUAUGACGGUGAAAAGAGCCGCAUAAAAAAUCGAGUCUUGUUUCACGUUUUUUGGUGUAAAUGUACUCGUGCACGCCACGAUUAUGUGAAAGUAGGCCCCCAGCUCGCUUGCACAUUUCAGCCACUUUUCUCAUUCACAGGUGAAAUACCAUAGCAACGUUCCGGUGCACGUGGAUUUGCCUGUCGUGUGAAUCGCCUAUAACUUACACUGACUGGCUUUAGAUGUGAAAGUCGAAGUGGUUGCAUGCAUGUGAAAUCUGUGCAUGUGAUUACUUCU